Molecule: long non-coding RNA, 1065 nt
Organism: Magallana angulata
Lineage: Eukaryota; Metazoa; Mollusca; Bivalvia; Ostreida; Ostreidae
Exons: 2
Source: RefSeq, a predicted model, not a curated record
GCCUGUUUUAACUUUAAAUACCAAGUAAAAGUGAAAAAAAAAAUCAAUAACCACAACAUAGAUACAGUCCAUAACAAACAUGGCGCCGUCGAUGAAGUGAAAAUGAAUAAUCUUUAAUUGUUUAACUGCGAAAGAUAUAGAUUCAGAGAGAUCGUCUGCAAUGUUUGCCGAUGUGCAGGUUCAUAGAAUAAAGAAGGAGGAGAAAGAACAGCGCCUUGUUGAACCCCUUGUCAUAAACAUAAUCAAUUCCGGUCUUUCGGCAGUCCAGCAUGUGUGUUGUCUUGAUUCGGAAACGGUCUGGACCAGCGGCAACGGAUCAAGGCUGAGGCUGCUGAACAAUAGGGGAAAAGAAAGGCGAUCGAUUAAAAGCCCGGAUCAACAUGGGAUAGGUGGAAUGUCCAUUUCCAAAAAGGGAGAACUCAUGUUUUGCUCACCAUCAGAUAAAGCUUUAUAUAAAGUAAUUGGUAAGGACAUCGAACAGUUUUGCAGUACCGGCGAUUUUGUAUCCCGUGGGAUGCACUGGUGUAGAAAUGGGGAUAUCUUAGUUUCUGUUUGUAAAGGACAAAAAGCCAAAGUAGACAGAUACGGGGGCGACGGGUAUAAAAAGCAAGAAAUAGAAAUCAAACAGAAUGGUCGGCGUCUGUUUAGAAAACCAUCUUAUCUUACGCAAAACAUUUCUGGAGACAUAUGUGUUUCAGAUCAAAAUAAAGUAGUUGUCACAACAAAUGAUGGGCGAUUUCGAUUCAACUAUUACGGCGGAAGAUUCAAAGCUUUCGGACCCCAAGGAAUAUGUUGUAACAAAUUGGCACAUAUUAUUGUGGCAGACGACAUCAACAAUAUAAUUCACGUUGUAAACGAUAGCGGUGCAUUGCAGCGCGUGUUAGACACUUCCGGACAAGGAGUUCUGGGACAAUUAUCUUCUCCAUCGAGCCUUUCCAUAGAUGAUAAUGGUUAUAUUUGGGUUGGAGAAGUGUUUAGUGGUUUUAUCAAAGUCUUGAAGUAUUUAGAACUUUGUUAUGUCUGAAAUGUAUUCCUCUUGUGACGCAAUAAAUCGAUCGUUCUUAA